Molecule: long non-coding RNA, 3791 nt
Organism: Haliaeetus leucocephalus (bald eagle)
Lineage: Eukaryota; Metazoa; Chordata; Aves; Accipitriformes; Accipitridae
Exons: 6
Source: RefSeq, a predicted model, not a curated record
UAAAGUUGCCUUUUCUUUUUUUGCUAGGCAAUGAGACAGCAGAAUAAAGAGAGAUUUAUUUUAAAAAAUGACAUAACACACAAAAACCCAGCUUCAUGUGGACUUAAGAUGCCUUUUUUCCCCUUUUGCGAUGCUAGUGUCAUUGAGCCGUAGUACUUCUAGGAGAAUGGGCAAUACAGUAAAAAAAAAUAUAGCUAGGAUUCUAGGCUCUUAUCUGGAAGUAAAGAUUAGGAGGUGUUUUCAUUCACGUAGGAGGUUGUCGGGUGCAUUCAUUCCGUGUUGUAUUAGCUUGUCUAAUGAUAGCCUGAGUCACAUGUUAAGAUUACUGAACAGUAAAAUUUUUGAAUCUUUAGAAGCCAUUAGUAACCUCUGGUUAUUGGGUGUAAUAAGCAAGCUUAACUCAAGAUUUUCCGUAGCUUAAAAUGUUGUUGUGAUCUGAAACAAAACAUUUAUAAGUUAAGUUAUCUUUAAUGGAUUGCUACAUUUAUUUGAUCUAUUUAAGUAUUGUAUAUGACAAAACAUACUUUGUCAUGUGUUUCUUUGCCUGGUUGAGUUGAUAGAUUUAAAUACUUGCUAUGUGGUGAAAACCAAACUCUAAACCAAUUGAAAUCAGUGCUUAUACUUAAAAGGACUGAAACCUUGAGAUGACGAAUUUUCAUUAAAAAUCCUUUGGACUGAAGUUGAAUAGUACAUGCAGUUAUUUGUAGAAAUUUGUUUUUAAUAUGGGAUUUCAAGUGGAUGUAACUCGUAACUCCUUUGUUACUUAAAAAUGGCUGCAUGUCUUGCUGCUUUCUAAAAGGCCUCCUGCAAACUUAAGACUUAGGUAUGUAACAUAUUAUUGCUUCUGAGACUCGAGAGAUUGUUUAUGAUUAUUGUCUCAUAAUGUGUGUGACUUAGUGGCCCAGUAAUAAGAAUCUGCUGAUUUCAAAUAUUAAGCUUGUUUACUGUUUGUUUUUAGGUAUGAUGGAGAGGAGGUUUUCAGUGGUGUCCAAUACAUUGUACAGAAGCAUUAAGCCCUUCAUGGAAGCACCAUCAGAAGUAGAAGAAUACUUGGUACACACAAGUGGAUUUUCCUGAAAGGUGUAAUGGCAUGAACAGUUUCUAACAAUGGGAAUGUCAGGUGUCCUGGUGAAAGAUUUCCUGGCAGCUGUAGUAUAACAGAUAGAGGCAAUAUUACAAGUAGGAAGUGGAGUGACUUACAUGGCUGAUGUAAAGAAAGGUUGGAAGUAACAAGCCUUGCUAGUGUAACUAACCAGUGCAUUUUAUGUCUCUGCAGAGAUGCUUGGGUGCUGCUUCUCAGUUGAAGGAAAAUGGUCAAAAAUGUAGGAACAAAUACUUUUAGCUUAUUCAGUGAUGAGUUGGAACGCUUUGUCAGUGCUGCCAGACAAAUGUGGAUGAUCUGUAACUGGAAGGAAGUGUAACACCUGAAGAGUUUUUGUGGUUUGGAGUGGGAUGCCAUGCUUUAAAAGCCUGCUGAGGCAGCUGCUGCAGUUUUGUUAAGCGGAUACUGUUUUCAGAAACUGCAUGUGAACCAAAAUCACUGUCUCUGUAUAUUUAAAAUAGACCUUUUCCCAAAACACUGAGCUGCCCUCUGUAGGAAGGGUAGCAGCAAUAUUAGAGAAAUGAGUGUUGAGCUUCAAUACAUGGAAAAAUCCCUGAGAGUAUUUGCCCUUUUAAAAUAUCAUAAGAGUAUAUAGACUUGCUGAUGCUGAACAUCUGUAAUAACUCAAAAUAACAGAACUCACAGGUAGGCCCUGUAAAGAUGGGGAGAAAGCAAAAUGGGUACACAUUCAAACCAAUGAGUCAGCUUUUUGAGGGUGGUGUCAUUCAGGAGAUGGGAGGAAGUAGAUGAGGUUGUGGUGGUACAGAAGCAUAAAUGUGAAACACUUGUAAGAAAAAUUCAAGUGUCAUGAGGAAAGUCAUGGUUACAGAAAAGGCAAGGUCUAAAGCUUGCAUUGCUGUCUGUAUCUAGUGAGGGGAGAGAGGAACUGGGCUUUUAUGGACUGCCACUUCAGCAUGAAAAGACCAGUGCCAGAACAGUGGAACUGCCCUUUGAGGUGUACGCUGGCAAUGUUACCUGCUUGCUGUGAGGGGAAAGAGGUCAAUAGUGGGAGACGGGAGUACACACGUUGGAACUUUCGCUUUGAGGAUUCACUUGAAAACUAAUGGUCCUGUAUCGUAGUAACAGCAUAUUUGCUGUAUUCAGCAAAUUGACACUCUUCCACAGAGUAAUGAAGGAUCACAAAUUGGUCACAGAUUAAGUUGGCUUUUAAAGACAAAUCAUUAUGUACAUAAGCUGCGGUCUGCUUUAAAGCAUGACUCUCAAACCUAAUUGUCAGGAAUGGUUUAUGAAGGAAGAAACAGAAUGGCAUGAUACCUAAAAAUUGAUAGAGCUACAGUUGCAGAAUCAUCCCAAAAUACAGAAAAAAUACCCUAUAGUCUUCAGCCAAAAAUGACAGCAUUGGAUGCCAGCAGCUCUCUUCCUUUGGAGAGUUGGAGGAAUUCCUAUAGUUCAUGAAAUGUGCAUAUCUCUAAAUGACAAAUUCCAUGAAAAGCCCAAUUUUCUGUCCAAGCAGUAUCAUGAAGUGCAAAACACUAGUAGUAGCAGCACCUAAAGCAUUGGGAAUGUCAAAAAUAAGUAUGUCUGAGUACUAAAAUGUACACUUAAGCUGACUGAAAUCCAGGAGCGUAUUGGCUCACUGAGCAUCUCCUAUGCUUUGGUUAUUGUUAAUAAGCAGUAACCAGCUACUUUGGCUAAAGGCUGCUCCUUUUGAGCAAGCAGCUGUGUAAAUCAGUCUAGCGGAUGUAUCAAAAUCUGCAGAAGUUUACUACGGAACAGCUUUCCUUUCAUUGCUUUCAAUGAUUUAUUAUUUCUGUUAAAUGUUACUGAGAAGGGUAAGUAUUUCCAUGUGCCAUGUUUUGUACGUGUUCUUUCUUGAAUAAAGAUGAGGAUGUGAAAAACCUAGCUGUUGCACAUGAGGUCUGUAGUUGCACCACGGUGUUCUUUGACAGCUUGUACUUGGCAAGAGGCAACGUGGCCUUGUUGCACCGACUGGUACAGCACAUACUGGACAUGUGAUACUCCACAUUGUGCUCAAGUGACUCCUGGACAACAAACUUCAUUAGUGAUUAUGCACUUCAGAAGUGGGAAGGGACCAGUUUCCAUCUUUUGCCCACUGUAGUUUCAUGAAAAGUCUGGAUGCUGCUGACAGCAUCUAGUGAAGCUGCUUGGAUGGUUAAGUCAGGAAGUUGCCAGUCCUAGCUAGGUCAGCCUCCUGGAGGAAAAAAGAUGUCGAAGACCAGAGAAAUAAGCAAUACAGCAGUGAUACUUGGUAAGUACUUUGUUAGAUGCUCUAAAAGAAUCUGUAUAUGACUUGCAUUACAGGGCCAGAAGAGUGUGUGGCAUGCAUUUUGGAGUGUAAAGGUACCAUCGUUUUAUCCUUUGGGCUGACACUAACAUGAAAUAUGGAAGCUUUUAAGGAGGUACUGCUAUGUCCAGUAAGGUUGAGGAGAAUGAGUUCACCUUGUGAUUUCUGGGAUCAAAGACUGAUAGAGUUUCAGGAUUGUGGGUGGCACUUCAGGUACCCAAAGUACUUCACAUCAAUGUUCUGUAUGUUCUAAAACAUUCCUUGGGCAUGGUCUCCGAUCUAGGAUUGACAGUAUUAGAUGGAUAAAGGGUGCCAGAGAAUGUUAUUAUGCCCAUCAGGUGAUUGAGGCCUAUUGGCAGUAGCAGUGUUUAAUCAUGAGAAAGGUACCUCUUACUUGGCAUAGAAAAAGGUAGAUGUGGCCAG